GAUGAACGCUGGCGGCGUGCCUAAUACAUGCAAGUCGAGCGAACGGACGAGAAGCUUGCUUCUCUGAUGUUAGCGGCGGACGGGUGAGUAACACGUGGAUAACCUACCUAUAAGACUGGGAUAACUUCGGGAAACCGGAGCUAAUACCGGAUAAUAUUUUGAACCGCAUGGUUCAAAAGUGAAAGACGGUCUUGCUGUCACUUAUAGAUGGAUCCGCGCUGCAUUAGCUAGUUGGUAAGGUAACGGCUUACCAAGGCAACGAUGCAUAGCCGACCUGAGAGGGUGAUCCGCCACACUGGAACUGAGACACGGUCCAGACUCCUACGGGAGGCAGCAGUAGGGAAUCUUCCGCAAUGGGCGAAAGCCUGACGGAGCAACGCCGCGUGAGUGAUGAAGGUCUUCGGAUCGUAAAACUCUGUUAUUAGGGAAGAACAUAUGUGUAAGUAACUGUGCACAUCUUGACUGUACCUAAUCAGAAAGCCACGGCUAACUACGUG
RNAcentral lists this ribosomal RNA (497 nucleotides) under uncultured bacterium. RNAcentral describes it as "partial 16S ribosomal RNA". It matches the Rfam family "Bacterial small subunit ribosomal RNA", at positions 28 to 507 of the family's 1533-position model. The record is from RNAcentral.